AGUGAACGCUGGCGGUAGGCCUAACACAUGCAAGUCGAACGGCAGCACAGUAAGAGCUUGCUCUUACGGGUGGCGAGUGGCGGACGGGUGAGGAAUACAUCGGAAUCUACUUUUUCGUGGGGGAUAACGUAGGUAAACUUACGCUAAUACAGCAUACGACCUACGGGUGAAAGCAGGGGAUCUUCUGACCUUGCGCGAUUGAAUGCGCCGAUGUCGGAUUAGCUAGUUGGCGGGGUAAAGGCCCACCAAGGCGACGAUCCGUAGCUGGUCUGAGAGGAUGAUCAGCCACACUGGAACUGAGACACGGUCCAGACUCCUGAGGGAGGCAGCAGUGGGGAAUAUUGGACAAAGGGCGCAAGCCUGAUCCAGCCAUACCGCGUGGGUGAAGAAGGCCUUCGGGUUGUAAAGCCCUUUUGUUGGGAAAGAAAAGCAGCAGGUUAAUACCCCGCUGUUCUGACGGUACCCAAAGAAUAAGCACCGGCUAACUUCGUG
This 492-nucleotide ribosomal RNA is filed under the name uncultured bacterium. RNAcentral's name for it is "partial 16S ribosomal RNA". It matches the Rfam family "Bacterial small subunit ribosomal RNA", at positions 29 to 507 of the family's 1533-position model. The record is from RNAcentral.